Molecule: long non-coding RNA, 870 nt
Organism: Lucilia cuprina (Australian sheep blowfly)
Lineage: Eukaryota; Metazoa; Arthropoda; Insecta; Diptera; Calliphoridae
Exons: 5
Source: RefSeq, a predicted model, not a curated record
AAAAAAAAGUGUGAAAAAAGCAGGGAGUGUGUAAUUGUGUGAACACAGAGUAGAGUAGAAUAGCUAACUGUGUUGUUGUUUUUGUUUAAUGACUUAUAAGAAGAACGUGAUUUAAAUGAAAAUCGUAAAUAAACAUACAAUUAUAAAUGAUGACACAGGUUGUCAUCUAGAAGUCAAUCAUCUGGAGUUUCUUUAAGAAUUUUAAAAUCUUCUGUAAAGCAGUGCAAUGAAAAUAAUAUCAUCAUUAUCAUUAUCAUCAUCUUGUUAUUAAGGUGUAACGUUAACCCAUGUGAUUAAAAAAAAAAAAAGUUUAAAACAAAAUAAAAUCUACAGAAAAAUCUGUUUUAUUUCUACAUUUUUAAAACCAUAAUAGUCAAAACUGCUAACAGAACGACUACAGCAGUCAUAUAAUCAAACAUAAAAAAUUCACUAAAAACUCCCCACAGAAGCUGGCAUAAACGUAAGAGAGAAAGAGACUUUAUAGUCGUAUUUAACGAAUUGAAUUUGGUUUUAUUUUCGGUGCGCGGUUUUCCAUAUUUACUGGUAGUGUCGAAUAGCGCAAAGGAGUUCUACAAUAGCAGUAAUCUGCAACUUUAGAAUCUACCGCUUUUUCAGCCAUUAAAAAAACAAACUCUUCAACAUACAUUUAGUGAAUGUAUACUUAAAUAAAAAAAAGGCAUCAACAAGUUUUAUAUUUCUCAACUAAAACUGAGAAGGAACAAAAUAUUUCAAACUUUUACUUAUCAACAUAAAACAACAAAUUAUUAUUUACUAAUAUCAACAAAAGGUAAAUUACACACUUAAUCUCAUAAAUAUUUUAAACUAUGGUAAGCUUAUUUAAAUGAAUUUAUUUUUUAUUCAGACAAAUUU